Molecule: long non-coding RNA, 1502 nt
Filed under: Pan troglodytes (chimpanzee)
Lineage: Eukaryota; Metazoa; Chordata; Mammalia; Primates; Hominidae
Description: lincRNA
Source: RNAcentral
GGCCAGGCACUACUCUGUCCCAACAAUAAGCCCUGUACAUUGGGAAAGGUGCCGAGACAUGAACUUUGGUCUUCUCUGCAAUCCAUCUGGAGCAUUCAGUGACAACAUCGACUUUGAAGUUGCACUGACCUGGCCAGCCCUGCCACUUACCAGGUUGGGCUGUGGCUUGCCUUUUCACUUCUUGUGUCCUGUUUAAGAAAUAUCUACUAUCCCAAGAUUGCAAACUCCUAGAGAAGGGCUCAACAGUGAGUGCUGAGGCUGCACAGAGGAGGAAGGCAGCACAAUGAUGGAAGGCUUCCUAAAGAGAUAACACUAACAAAGUUGACCUUAGAAUUGGAGUGCCUGGGUUAGAACCCUGCUGGUACCACCUGCUUACUGCAUGCUUCUGAUGUGAGUUCAGGAGAAGACACUGGCAAGGACAGCAAAGAACAGGAGAACACUCUAGCUUCCCUGAUAGCAUUCAAGGUGCUGUCCAAACUGACUGUGAUGGCACCCUCCAGACAGACAGCGAUGCCACAUGUUCAAGAUGGCAGAAUCACUAUCAGCUUCAAUUCCUGAAUGACUGCAGAGCAAAAUUUCUUACCCGCAACAUACACUCUAUUUUCAGCCUCCCUGGACUGUUACAUAAUGAUACAUAAAAAUAUUUCUUGUGUUGAGGCAUCCCAAAUUUGAUCUAUUUGUCAUCACAGUCUAUCCUCUGAAUAUAUUUCUGAUCCAAAUAAUGCUAGAUUCAUGCGAGUUUAUAGUCCAGAGAUUUUUUUUUUUUUUUUUUUUUGAGACAGAAUCUCACUGUCUCCCAGGCCGGGGUGCAGUGGCAUAAUCUUAGCUCACUGCAACCUCCACCUCCUGGGCUCAAGUGAUCCUCCCUCCUUAGCCUCCAUGAGUAGCUGGGACCACAGGUGUGCACCACCACACCCCGCUAAUUAUUUUGUAUUUUUUGCAGAGGGGGGUUUCACCACAUUGCCCAAGCUGGUCUCAAACUCCUAGACUUAAGGGAUCUGCCCGCCUUGGCCUCCCAAAAUGCUGAAAUUACACUUGUUAGCCAUAGUAAUAGUUCCUAGCCACAGUCCGGAGAUAUUUUAAAAACUUUAGUGUGAGUUAUUUCUCUUUGCUGUAAUUCUCUCAUGCAUUUUGAAAACCUUUUCUGCCAUACAGUGGUUUUUGGGAAGUCCUUUUGGACAGACAUAUCACAGGAUGGAGAAACUAAAGAGAGAGAAUGCAUUAAAGAAAAAAUAGUACUUCGUAUUUCAGAAAUUACAAAAGGGUGUCAUGCCCCACAGCAUGGUGGGCAGUCAUUUGUAACCCACAGAACAUUGAGUUUCUAAAAUUUGAGUGUUUUUAACUUACGAAGGCCAACUUUACUGAUGAAGUGAUUACCCCAAAUAUGUGAAAUCCAUAUUUCAAGCACAAUAGCAGGAAAUCGGAAAUGGGUAGGUAUAUUUCUGACUGUCAAAGAGUACAAAGUAAAGAGGGGCCCCUGAAGAGUGACACUACUGGAAAAA